This 498-nucleotide long non-coding RNA is filed under the name Cricetulus griseus (Chinese hamster). RNAcentral describes it as "lncRNA (ENSCGRG00015030055.1)". The record is from RNAcentral. Lineage: Eukaryota; Metazoa; Chordata; Mammalia; Rodentia; Cricetidae.
CGGCUCCUCAGAUGUUAUUUGUCUUUUCCUGCGAGGGACUUGUGACAGUCCAGGGUGUUGUGUAUCCUGUGUGAUUGUUUAUCGCCCAGCCCAUGCCCUGGCCCGAGCAGCCUCUGGGUCGGCACUUCACGUCCCGAACACGACGAGUACGUGAGCGCCGAGGGGAAGGAGGUGACACUCUGGCCGAGGCCCUGACCUCGGGCGCCCAGAAUCACAGUUGGAAAAUGGUCUCCAAGUAUAUACAUGUGACCUAAGACUGAAAACUUCUGAAGAAUGGUGCCAAAACCCCAAGAUGAAGACAUGAAAGCAAGCAGAGGAAUGGAUUAUAGGAACUGAAGACGAGAGGAGAAUCCCUAAGAAAGUUCGUCAAGGGGGCUAAGAUGCCCUGGUGAUGACACUUAGUGAAGGUGUGUCACUAUGUGCCUGAAAAUUCCACAGAGUUAAUAGCAAAAGUGACCAAGAAGUAGCAUUCAAACUUAGACUAUGUGUGGGGGGGGG